Phasianus colchicus (ring-necked pheasant) is the source of this 1140-nucleotide non-coding RNA. The record is from RefSeq and is a predicted model, not a curated record. Lineage: Eukaryota; Metazoa; Chordata; Aves; Galliformes; Phasianidae.
UUCAGUUGCUCCUCAUAGGGCAUAUUCUCCGAGGCCUUCACAAGGCACUACAUAGGUGAGGAACAAAAGCACAACACAAUCCUGGAUAUUUAAUGUCACUAUUGAAUAAACAAGGGCAUCUUUCAAAUUCUUGGCCUUUGAACUAUUCAUAAGAAUAUCAGAAGAUCAGCCUGACAUUUGUAACAAGAAGGUUGGUUUCAAAGGCCUGCAGGAAUAAGCUGAGAGUCUCAGUUUGGGCUAGACCUCAUAAAUAAAAAGGGUAAAAGGGAAAGAAAAGCGUGGGUUAUCAUUUGAGGAUAAUUUAAGUAAAGUGUGAUAGCAAAAAUAAUACUUUGCCAUGUUUUUUUAACCAGGAUGCCAUGGUUCAUUGUGUGGACCAGACAAGGUGGCUGAAUGGGAAUAAGCACACAGUGCUGGGCAGAGCAUUGUCAGCGGGGAAAGGAAGUCAGGGAGCAUGAGGCACUUGAACCAAGAACUGAAUGACCCCAAUCCCAAAUAUUGCCGUGAGCUUCUGAUCAAGCCCUGUUUGUGGAGCUCUGAGUCACCGAACAGUCCACCAGGACCCUGAAAGCAAACUGUGGGAAGAGCCCUGCGAAGCAGACAUAAAAACUGACAACUUUGCUUCUUCCCCAAGACCAUACUGGGACAGGAUGGAAACAGGAUCAGAGGUCUGCAGCGAAGCAGCAGAGUGAUGCACAACAGAGUGAUGCACCAAGGUGCACAGAACGAAAGCAGAGAGCUACACAUAACAUAUCCAAAUCUUUGAAGCUGCAAAGGACUUUGAAAGUAAUUCACAAAAGGUACAUUUGCCAUGUGGCAGUGGACAGAAGACAAAGAGCCAAAUUUUCCUUGCCUUUCCAGUGGAACUAAAACUGUUCCACAAGGCAUCAGUUUAAGAGAGGGACACAGCUGGACUUCUGAAACAAGCACUAAUUUGACCACUAGCAGCUGUUACUGGCUUUUGGAGGAAAAUAGUCCAAUGACUUUGCUCUCUGUUCCUCGCCAGCCAUUUUCACCAUCUAAUUUCCUGGAACAUUUAAUUGUGACAGAACAUUUCAUGUGGCUCAUUGUGCAUUGAGAUAUUCUAGCACAUUUUUCAAGACACAGCACUAUGCAUUUCAAAUAAAUGACAUAAACUAC